GAUGAACGCUGGCGGCGUGCCUAAUACAUGCAAGUCGAGCGAACAGACGAGGAGCUUGCUCCUCUGACGUUAGCGGCGGACGGGUGAGUAACACGUGGAUAACCUACCUAUACGACUGGGAUAACUUCGGGAAACCGGAGCUAAUACCGGAUAAUAUAUUGAACCGCAUGGUUCAAUAGUGAAAGACGGUUUUGCUGUCACUUAUAGAUGGAUCCGCGCCGCAUUAGCUAGUUGGUAAGGUAACGGCUUACCAAGGCGACGAUGCGUAGCCGACCUGAGAGGGUGAUCGGCCACACUGGAACUGAGACACGGUCCAGACUCCUACGGGAGGCAGCAGUAGGGAAUCUUCCGCAAUGGGCGAAAGCCUGACGGAGCAACGCCGCGUGAGUGAUGAAGGUCUUCGGAUCGUAAAACUCUGUUAUUAGGGAAGAACAAAUGUGUAAGUAACUAUGCACGUCUUGACGGUACCUAAUCAGAAAGCCACGGCUAACUACGUG
This 497-nucleotide ribosomal RNA is filed under the name uncultured bacterium. RNAcentral's name for it is "partial 16S ribosomal RNA". It matches the Rfam family "Bacterial small subunit ribosomal RNA", at positions 28 to 507 of the family's 1533-position model. The record is from RNAcentral.